RNAcentral lists this ribosomal RNA (229 nucleotides) under uncultured bacterium. RNAcentral describes it as "partial 16S ribosomal RNA". It matches the Rfam family "Bacterial small subunit ribosomal RNA", at positions 568 to 796 of the family's 1533-position model. The record is from RNAcentral.
UGCGCAGGCGGGGCAAUAAGUCAGUGGUGAAAUCCUGCGGCUUAACCGUAGAACUGCCAUUGAUACUGUUGCCCUUGAGUAUAGUUGAGGUGGGCGGGAUAUGUAAUGUAGCGGUGAAAUGCAUAGAUAUUACAUAGAACACCAAUUGCGAAGGCAGCUCACUAAGCUAUCACUGACGCUGAGGCACGAAAGCGUGGGGAGCGAACAGGAUUAGAUACCCUGGUAGUCC